Long non-coding RNA from Brassica napus (rape), 1491 nucleotides. RefSeq lists it as uncharacterized. The record is from RefSeq and is a predicted model, not a curated record. The transcript has 2 exons. Lineage: Eukaryota; Viridiplantae; Streptophyta; Magnoliopsida; Brassicales; Brassicaceae.
CACACAUCUUUCUUUUCUUCUUUUUUCUCCUCCUUCUCUUUAUUCUUCUCCUUCUCCGCCUAUCUUUUGCUUUAGGUUGAGAAACGUAUUGAUCCACUCUGAGUAUACAGAAUCAAUUGCUGAUAUACUCUUGAUCCAAAAAUUAUAUUCUAAUAUACUCUUCUCUUUUAAUUCUUUUCUUUUUUAUUUAUUUUUAAUUUGAAAAAUAAGUAAAAGUUUAAUUGACCUAUGAAUUCACCUAUUUACAGAAUAUACCAUUUAACCUAACUCAAUUUCCUUCUCUUUUUUUUUAUUCAACUUCCUUCUCCUAAAUUCUAGAUCCAUAUUUCUUCUUCUCAUUCUCUUUUAUCUUCUUCAAUUCUACUCUCUCUCUCUCUCUCUCUCUCUCUCUCUCUCUCUCUCUCUCUCUCUCUCUCUCUCUCUCUCUCUCUCUCUCUCUCUCUCUCUCUCUCUCUCCCCUGGCCGGCUACGAGUCUUUAUCAUAGACACCAUCGUCCACCGCAGUUGUCGUCCACCAGAGCCUUAGCCGUCGUCUUUUCAAGUACAGUAUGUUGUUUGUAACUGGAUCCGAUCUCAGCCAUAAGAUCCGAGUUUGUGGCCGCCUCUUCUUCUUUUUCUAGACCCAGUAUUGUCAGGUCAAGCUAAAGUGAGGACCCGGCUGUGAACCUUUUUCAAGUUAUAUAAUUUUUCGGGCGUUAGUACUUUGUUAAUAUUAUCUAGAUUUAUAUCUUAUUUGUUUUGGUGUGAUGAAAGUACGAUGAUAGUUGAUUGUGAUGAAUGAACCUAGUAAAUGAUAGGUUGUUAAAGGAUAAACCGGUUGUGUGUUGAAAAUGAAUGAGAUGUGUGAUAAGAAUGAAAGUGAUGUGAAGGAGAUGAUGAGAUGUGUGAUAAGAAUGAAAGUGAUGUGAUAAAAGUGAACGAGAUAAUGAGAUGUGUGACCUACGGUAAGGAGGGGUUAGGUUAGCGACUCUGGGUAAGAUUAAGUCAUGUCGAGUUUGGAAUAAGUGAAUAUGGUGAACGUGGAUAGACGGGCAAGGGGAGCCUAUGAGAUGUAGGCGAGAUAUUCACAUAGGAGCUUCAUGAUCGUAGCCCGGUUUGGGUGCCCACGCAGGAAUGCCGCGAUGGAGGUCGAGCCUUUGUGAGAGUGCGAUAGGUCAUAGAGGUCUAGGUUGAUUUUUGUUUGUCGCAUUCUAAUCUCUAUUAGCUUGUGACUUGUGUUUUUUGUGUUUUUUUUGUGUUAUGAGUUUUGAAAUGAGUUUGUGGGUUCCUAGAACCCAGCCUCACUGAGUAAUCCAAUAUUUACCUUUCCUUUUGCAGGUACUUACGAGGGAGUGCAUGAGUAGGAGUUGGAAGGUGCCAUCUAUUUGGGUUUCGUUUUAAAGAGCUAUUACUUAUGAUUUCAAAGACCUAUUCCAUGUUUUUCGGUUUUCGUUGAUUUAAGUUAUUGCAAGAAAAUUCAUUUUUGGAAUAAAGGUUGUGUUGGGUUGAAAA